UACGGGGGGGGCAAGCGUUGUUCGGAAUUACUGGGCGUAAAGGGCGCGUAGGCGGCUUUUCAAGUCGGGCGUGAAAUCUCCGGGCUUAACCUGGAAGGGUCGUUCGAUACUGUCGAGCUAGAGUGUGGAAGAGGCUACUGGAAUUCCGUGUGUAGUGGUGAAAUGCGUAGAUAUACGGAGGAACACCAGCGGCGAAGGCGGGUAGCUGGGCCAACACUGACGCUGAUGCGCGAAAGCCAGGGGAGCAAACGGG
RNAcentral lists this ribosomal RNA (253 nucleotides) under uncultured bacterium. RNAcentral describes it as "partial 16S ribosomal RNA". It matches the Rfam family "Bacterial small subunit ribosomal RNA", at positions 524 to 776 of the family's 1533-position model. The record is from RNAcentral.